GAUGAACGCUAGCUACAGGCUUAACACAUGCAAGUCGAGGGGUUUCGAAGAGCUUGCUCCGAGAAACGACCGGCGCACGGGUGAGUAACGCGUAUCCAACCUGCCCUUCAUAUUGGGAUAGCCUUCCGAAAGGGAGAUUAAUACCGAAUAACAUGAGAAGAUUGCAUGAACCUCUCAUGAAAGCUCCGGCGAUGAAGGAUGGGGGAUGCGUUCCCAUUAGGUAGUAGGCGGGGUAACGGCCCACCAAGGCUACGAUCGUUAGGGGUUCUGAGAGGAAGGUCCCCCACACUGGAACUGAGACACGGUCCAGACUCCUACGGGAGGCAGCAGUGAGGAAUAUUGGGUACAAUGGUCGAGAGACUGAACCAGCCAAGUAGCGUGAAGGAUGACUG
Molecule: ribosomal RNA, 392 nt
Filed under: uncultured bacterium
Lineage: Bacteria
Description: bacterial SSU rRNA
Rfam family: Bacterial small subunit ribosomal RNA
Source: RNAcentral